RNAcentral lists this ribosomal RNA (484 nucleotides) under uncultured bacterium. Its description in RNAcentral is "bacterial SSU rRNA". It matches the Rfam family "Bacterial small subunit ribosomal RNA", at positions 22 to 518 of the family's 1533-position model. The record is from RNAcentral.
GGUCAGGACGAACGCUGGCGGCGUGCUUAACACAUGCAAGUCGAACGGUGAAGCGGAGCUUGCUCUGCGGAUCAGUGGCGAACGGGUGAGUAACACGUGAGCAACCUACCCUUGACUCUGGGAUAACAGUUGGAAACAGCUGCUAAUACCGGAUAUGACCCUGGUGGACAUCCACUGGGGUGGAAAGCUCCGACGGUCAAGGAUGGGCUCGCGGCCUAUCAGCUUGUUGGUGAGGUAACGGCUCACCAAGGCGUCGACGGGUAGCCGGCCUGAGAGGGCGACCGGCCACACUGGGACUGAGAUACGGCCCAGACUCCUACGGGAGGCAGCAGUGGGGAAUAUUGCACAAUGGGCGAAAGCCUGAUGCCAGCAACGCCGCGUGCGGGAUGACGGCCUUCGGGUUGUAAACCGCUUUCAGCAGGGACGAAGGGUUUCUGACGGUACCUGCAGAAGAAGCACCGGCUAACUACGUGCCAGCCGCCGC